RNAcentral lists this ribosomal RNA (3015 nucleotides) under Triticum aestivum (bread wheat). Its description in RNAcentral is "partial small subunit ribosomal RNA". Lineage: Eukaryota; Viridiplantae; Streptophyta; Magnoliopsida; Poales; Poaceae. The record is from RNAcentral.
AUGGUAGGCUACGAUGGAGAUUUUGUCAUGGCAGAUGUACGUCAAAGGUUGCUCUGCUUUGAGUACGUACCUAAAGGAAGUCUUGAUGAGUAUAUCAAAGAUGCAUCUUUUGGACUUGGCUGGAUAAAGAGCUAUCAGAUAAUAAAGGGAAUUUGUGAGGGUUUACAUUACCUUCACGAGAAUCAUAUUGUUCACUUAGAUCUCAAGCCCGCAAAUAUUCUACUGGAUGACAAUAUGGUGCCGAAGAUUACCGACUUUGGCCUAUCAAGGUGCUUUGAUGAAAAGCAAAGCCGAGCUAUUACCAAAAAUAUGUCCGGAACGUGGGGGUAUAUGCCACCAGAGUUCCAUAAUGGAGACAUAUGCAUAAUCACAUACAAAUCAGACAUAUAUAGUCUUGGUGUCAUAAUUAUGGAGAUGCUGACAGGAAAAAAGUGGUAUCCUGCAUAUCCUGAUAUUGAUGAUGAAAAUCUAGAGGAUGCCACCAACAACUUGUUUCUGAGGAGGAAAAAUGUUCAUCUUAUGAAUGAUAGUACCAAGAAGAAUAUCAUCGUUGGGCAGGGGAUAGCUACGAAUCUUCAUGCGGCCCAAGAAUGUCUCAAUGAUAAUCUUCAUAUUGUUGAAGUCGAGUCGGGUCCAUCUAUGUCUGCUGAUGAUUGUAACAUUCAAGAGGCCAACAAAUGUCUGUGUGAUAAUCUUCAUACUGUUGUAGCCGAGUAUGCUCCAUCUAUUUCUACCGAGGAUCGUAACCUUCAAGAGGCACUUCAAUUCAUUAAGGUUGAUCCCGUGGGAGUAAUUGGAAUAUGGGGUCCAGGUGGAGUGGGGAAAACACACCUUUUGAACAAUAUCAAGAACUCGCUUGAUGGAGACUUGACCUUUAACUAUGUUGUACAAGUGACGGCUUCAAGGGGGUGUUCGGUGGAAAAGAUCCGAACUGACAUUGCACGCCAACUCGAUCUGAAGUAUGAUGGUAAUGUGCAAUCUCAAUGUCAUGCCAUCUUUGAUUUCCUGAAGAAGAGAAGCUUUCUUAUACUAUUGGAUGACCUUUGGGACCAAAUAGAUCUGCAGGCAGUUGGCAUACCAUAUCCCCUGGGAAGUAUAGACCAAAUCAGGAGAAAAGUGGUGCUCACAACAAGAUCAAGAAAAGUUUGUGGUCAAAUGGAGGUGAGAAAAGAGCUUAAAGUAGCUUGUCUCCAAGAGGAGGAGGCAUGGCAACUAUUUCAAGAUAAGGUUGGCCAUGAAACUCUUUCUUAUAGUCCUCGCGUUGAUGCUCUCGCAAGAGAACUUGUGAUGGAAAUGAAGGGCCUGCCAUUAGCUUUGAUAACUAUUGGAAAGGCAAUGUAUGCGAAAUUUGAUAUGGCUGAGUGGGAAUAUGCCAUCCAAUAUAUGAAACGGACAUGUUGCGAUAACGAUGACCCCUUGGAUAUGGAAAGAGUUGUUUUCAGCCAGGUCAAGUUUAGUUUUGAUAGUUUACGAAACAACACUUUGAGGGAUUGUUUCUUGACUUGUGCACUAUGGCCAGAGAAUCAAAAGAUUCCUAAAGUAGAGCUUGCUAAAUGCUGGAUUGGCUUAGGUCUAGUGUUUGAGUCAGACAUACAAUGUUCCUACACAAAAGCAUAUAGUUUGAUGGGAGAGCUUUCAGCUUCAUGUCUGUUAGAUGGAUGUGGAAAGUUGUAUGAUUUUGUUAAAAUGCAUGACGUGGUUCGUGACAUGGCUUUAUGGAUCUCUUGUGGAUGCAGUGAGAACAAUGGCAAGUGGUUUGUUCGUGCAGGAGUUGGCCCGGAUGAAAAAUUUAGCAUUCCUUGGAACCAAGUUCGAUGCAUCUCAUUGGUCCAGAACCAUUUGUUGGAAUUUCCCCUGUGUGACUCGAAUCCCCGUUACAUGAGUAUCUUAUGUCUUGGAAAUAAUCAGUUGCAUGAAAGCAUAAUAGCUGGAGAAAUCAAGAAAUUCGCUUCACUCACAUAUCUGGAUUUGCGCUUUAACCGUCUGAGCCGAAUACCUGAAGAAUUAUGUUCCUUGCCAAACUUGGAACACCUUGAUUUGUCGGAUAAUCUUGAUGUGGAUGAAGUGCCUCACUGCUUUGGAAACCUCGUUAAGCUCAAGUUCCUGUACCUAGAAUCGACUAGCAUACAAAGGAUACCGGAGAGGGUCAUAUCUAGCCUUAAAGCAUUACAGCUAAUAGACAUCAGAACUGAUUUUUUUAGUCCAGUUUCUCACGAACUUCUUUCUAGAAUGCUUCGAGAGCUGGGCACCCUGCCCCACUUGAAAGCAGUUGGUAUCAUUGUGGAGUAUAAAAUACUACAAUUAAGAGGAGGCGGUGACCUCCCCAUCAGGUAUUUAAAUCUGCGGGGACUAGAGACACAUGCACUCAACUUCUCUGAUAUUCUAUCACAUGACUUUGCACGAAGGACCUUGUAUGAACUGCGAAUUCAAAUGUGCAAAAUGAAGGAAAUAAUUUUAAGUCACGAGUUUGCACAACCAAGCUGCUGUUUUGGUACACUCAAUCAGAUCCUUUUGUUUCAUUUGUCAGACUUGAGAGAGAUAAUUUGGAUGGAAACAUCUCCAACAUCUCUAUUUCCAAGGCUCACUUGUUUGACGGUGUUGUUUUGCGGAAAGCUAAAUGACCUCUCUUGGGCGAUGUAUCUGCCUUGCCUCGAACAACUCAUAAUAGGUGGUUGUUCUUUGAUGCAGCAAGCAUUUAUGAGGGAUCAUGGUGAUAAAAAUUGUAGCGAACAAAACAGCUCUAGUAAGACAUUUCCCUGCCUCAAGUAUCUGAGAAUUUCGAGGUGUGUAUCGCUGGUCAAUAUUGGCGAUCCGGAUGUGACAUUCCCAUCCCUAGAGCGGCUGGAACUUAAUGAUUGUCAAGAACUGAAGAGGCUUCCUUUCAGGACAAACAGCUUGCCACGAAAACUGCAGGUACUCGAGAUUGAUGUUGAAUCAUGGGAAAGGUUGGAAUUGGAAGAAGGUGCCAAAUCUUUCCUGCAACCCAGGCUUGAAAUUGUGGAAGAUGUACCAUGA